GGAAAUUGAAGCACUUGAUUGGGAUCGUAUCGUGCUGGAAAUGUGCAACAUCAACCCAAAUUAAGAUUGGCUACGCGUGGUUGCUAGGUAUAGGCUAUAGCACUUCAACUCGGCUGGGAAUACUGUCUUUAACCAUCUGAAAGCGAAAGGGCGGGACUCUGUGAUGGACGCCGUCCAAGUGCAACAUUGAGAGAGUCGUAUAGCAGCACAGUAGCCGGCUGGAUAGCAGCAGGCUGCUGUAAUGCUUCUGAGGCUGACCAUCAAAUAUGAGAGAACUGCACUGCGGUUUUGGAACGAUGGCAGCCCACAGUCUGCUGGGGAGGGUGCACAGGGUAGGGGAACCUGGCAGGGCUGCCUGGAAGAGCCCCGCUGUCAGCCUCCCCACCCCUGCGGCUCUGGCUGUCAGAGAUGUAGGGCAGAGAGCAGGAGUGAGGGAGAGAGAGAGGAAUGCAGGGAAGGAGGAGGACCACGGGUUGAGCCUGCCCACAGACUGACCAUCUGUCUAACACACGCUCGCGUCCUCAUGGGGGAACAGCAGGCUCUCGCACGCCCCUCUCCAAUCUCUCCUAUUGGACUGAUGAAAAUCUGGGGUUCCUUCCCAAAAUCAAACACAGUCCUUAUAUUAAAUUAUUGACCUCUCCUAUCAUGUGGGACAUUUUUUUCAGCUUGGGUAUGAAGUAAAGUAAAUAAAGUAAAUGUGAAUACUGCAUAAGAUCACUGAGGACAUCCUUGAUGCUUAUUAUUUAGUCAUGAAAAAGCAUCAUAGACUAGAGGAUGUGUGUCAAAUGCAUUUGAAGAAUUUCCUGAACCAGAGUGUUUAAAAUGCAGACUUUAUUUUCUAAAAUUGAUAAUAUUGUUGAUAAAGUUAACAUGAAUGACCAUCCAACUGAAAAACAUUCUAUAGCCAUUCCAGAAAUAUUUCCUGUGACACCCAGAAACUUGAACAAACGUACAGUCUGAGAAUGCUGUGGGAAUUUUGUGGGAGUUUUGAAAACCAAAAAAAUUUUGUUUGAGGAAAAGGGGAAAUAGCUUGUGAAAUGGACUGGAGUAAAAACAUGGACUGAUUAUUUAAUUAAGGACAGUCGCAGGAAAAGUCUCAGGGAAAAGGUAACAAUUUUCAGAAACAAGUACCUCAGGAGGAAGUAGAAUAAUUCCAUUUGUCCGCAAAGGCUAUGAUGGCAGUUACUUAGCCGUCCCUUGCCAAAUAUCGAAUCACAUGUGACUUUGUUCAUAUUAGACUGACAACAUUGUUGUCAUCUUUGUUGGGGUUUUGCACUGUGGAUUUCAUAAUUGUGUGUGUUUUAUAAAAGCUCUAUUUCUGGUU
Long non-coding RNA from Anguilla rostrata (American eel), 1324 nucleotides. RefSeq lists it as uncharacterized. The transcript has 5 exons. The record is from RefSeq and is a predicted model, not a curated record. NCBI's taxonomy places the organism in Eukaryota, Metazoa, Chordata, Actinopteri, Anguilliformes, Anguillidae.